GUCUAUAGCCAAACCACCCUGAACAAGCCCGAUGUCUGAUCUCGGAAGCUAAGCAGGGUUGGACCUGGUUAGUACUUGAAUGGGAGACCACCUAGGAAGACCAGGUGCUGUAGGCA
Molecule: ribosomal RNA, 116 nt
Filed under: Pteropus alecto (black flying fox)
Lineage: Eukaryota; Metazoa; Chordata; Mammalia; Chiroptera; Pteropodidae
Source: RNAcentral